CUGUCAUGCUCUCUUGAACUGCGGGGUGUCUGUUCUCAUGUCAGCCGGGAAGAAAGAAAGAAAAAAAAGCCGUGCUGCUGUUCGGGUAUUCCCAGCAGCGCUUGUUUACCGACGUCGAACAAAACAGCCGAAGAGUUUCUCCGAUUUACACAUCCACCGUGACCAAGGAAGGACUGCCCCUCAGCACUGGUAUCGGAUCUCGUUUCUCUGCGGUGCGUCUGGCGUUGUGUGACGGGCGGUACAUUCUGUACGCUUUUCCUCCGGAGCCGGUGGAGUCUACGCACCAGCAGAAAGACGCAAUUAAAAGGGUCCUGCUGACGCUGAAUGAGACUCAACGGGAGAUGACCUUCUUCUGGCAGCUCUUACGGUGGAUUAUUGUCUGGAAGUCACCUGAGAAAAACAGAGAUAAUCCUUUGCUCUUGAUCACAGGCUCCUGUCAUACCUGACUCUCUCUAAACCCUGCACUGCAUCAUCCAACCCUCUCUGUGCUACAGGGGGAAGUGGAGAGGUGGGGAUCUUCCCACUGAACAUUUUUGUGGUGAAAAGUUGAUGAAACAAUGUGUUCUGGCUACAUUAGGUUGAAAAGUGACAUUUUUCUAGCCAACAAGGACAGUCAGGCUAUAUCCAGGAAAAACCUGAGCUUCGGUAUAAGGGUUAACCUAGUCCUUUUUAUAUGAAAACAUCUCUCCGCCUUGAUUUACAUCCCUCUAGAUGUCAAAAAUUCUGGCUUUUACCCACAGGGUUAAAGUUUUUUUUUUUUUUUCCUGUUCGAUGUACAUUCUUUGAACCCUACAGAAAGAAUCAUUAGGAGGCAAAAACAAACCUGGCUUUAGGGUUUAUCAACCUAAACCUUUUGCUCUCCUUACGCCACUAUCAUCUUGAAGAUACUGCUUUUGCAAAAGAAAUAGAUUUGCACUAAACCGGUGUCUUUUCUAAGGGUCUCAAAAAAUACAGAAAAAAGCUUUUCACACAACUGCAGAAAACGUAAUGGCUUUUUCUCUUGGUGAAAUGGCUGUGCAAACAUUAGGUAUUCAUAAGCAAUGUUUUCUAUCACACUCAGAAACAGAAAUUGGAAGCACAUUGAAAGAAAAAGGGAAGAAAUAACCCUGAAGUAUGCACAUGUGCAUCAGCUUUCCCAGCGAGAUCACAUUUUCCUCACUCUCUCACACUCUCCCUUUUAACAGUAGUGGGGUUUAUUCAUGUUGCUGAGCCACACACAUCCACAUAAUCCAAGCCUGAAGGCUCUUUUGCUUUUGUUAUCGUUGUUGUCAUUCCCCUGCAACUGAAUUCAAGGGUCGGGGCAAGGGGGUAAAUACUGUUGCAGAGGUUCAAAUGUAAUUGCAGCCAAGUGGCUAAUACAUGCAUUAGCAGUCGCUGAGGUGCCAAGUUUUGCACAUUGUUUUACAACAAAAGUGGAUUAGUGCAAUGACUCAGAGUGUGUGGGUGCGUGUGUGUGUGUGUGUGAGUGUGUGUGUGCGUGCAUGGGCACAUGUUUGUGUCUGUCUGAGUAUACAUGCCAAUCUAUGUUUGUCUGGUGAAAUCUUUAGCUCAGGGCAAGUAUCCAGUUUGCACCAAGCCAAAAACUAUUGUUUUAAAACACUAACUGUAAUACAGAUGGUAAAAUCACUUCCAGAUUGUUCAGGCUGGCCUUUAAUCUCACUCUGUCUUUAACAGGACCAGUAUCAGUCUGGGAAAACACGUUGUGGGUGUCCAUUUUGGAUAAGCUUUCGGAUGUAAAAGGGGGGGGUGGUGGGGGGUGGCGGUUUCUCGUUACAGAACCCUGAAGUAGCAACACUGAGCACAAAUAUUAACAAAAUCUGUUAAAUCCCCGAAGAAUAACCCCGGCUUACUCUAACCACUUCAGACUGGCUGUGCACGGGGUUCCUUUUUUGCUGGCAAAGGAGCCGUAUUAUUUGCAUUUAUGCAACGCAGCUGGGAUCCUCUUGCUAAUGAGAACCAACCUUCUCCAAACAAAAGAGGAACCGGAGCCCCCGAUUGGCGCGAGCGACCGCUGCCCUUGUGAAUGGCGCUGCCUGAAGGUAUGGGGCUUCAUUCAAAAAGGCCUUAAUGCCAGCUUUCUUUCGCCGGACGCUGUGCCAGGGGCGAAACAACUCCGCACUCUACAACAUACCUGUUGGGCGACCAUUGUAAAAGGUCGAGGUUCUUCUGGCAACUGCAGGAUUGUAUUUUUGAAGAAGAAAAAAAACCCCCGCUGUUCUGUGGUCCGGCUAUCCUCAGGGGUGGAGACCGUGCGCCUGUCUGCUUGUGUAGGGUGUACCAACGGGGGAUUGAUAAAGAUCCUCAGAAUAGCAAUGAAAAUGUGCAAUUUAAAAAAAAAAUACAGUUAUGUUAAAAUUAAGCUUUUGUUUUCAACGACUCAUCUCCCUCUUUCUAACCCAUUAAGCGAGCAGUGUGGCCAGAUGCACGCACACCGUCGUGUUUCUGUGAAUGUUGCACUGCGCAAAGAAAAUGAUUACCGAAAAAAAGCUGGUGCCCUUAUGCGCCUCUGUUUCAGUGAGCUGGCCUGCCCUCGGGGCAAGCCUGACCCCAGAACGAGUGCAAUUUCCAAAACACGGGCCUAUUCCUGACCCGGCCUCUCUGUCCCACAUAGCAGAAGAACAAACCGGCAUUACAGUGUAAUUAAAUGCUGGGCCAAAACACAAACCCUUACCAGAAUCGAAUUGGGCAAAAAUUCAUACACUGCUGGUGCUGGCCAGCCCUUCCCAUGCAAACUUUGCUCUGAGGAUAAAUAUUAAUAAUGGGAAAAUACAAAGUUUUUAAAUGUGCAUUAAUGUUUUGAGAGAUGUACUGGUUGCAUAUACCAAAUAUUGUUUCAGUAGCACAGUGUUAUUUUUCUGAACAACGCAGCAUUCACCACUAUAGCAAAAUAAA
Long non-coding RNA from Anguilla rostrata (American eel), 2892 nucleotides. RefSeq lists it as uncharacterized. The transcript is spliced from 3 exons. The record is from RefSeq and is a predicted model, not a curated record. Lineage: Eukaryota; Metazoa; Chordata; Actinopteri; Anguilliformes; Anguillidae.